Molecule: transfer RNA, 69 nt
Filed under: Dipodomys ordii (Ord's kangaroo rat)
Lineage: Eukaryota; Metazoa; Chordata; Mammalia; Rodentia; Heteromyidae
Rfam family: tRNA
About the family: Transfer RNA (tRNA) molecules are approximately 80 nucleotides in length.
Source: Rfam by way of RNAcentral
GGUAAGGUGGCUCAGUGGUAGAGUGCUUGCCUUGCAUGCAUAAGGCCCUGGGUUUGAUUCCCCAUACCA